UGCCUCUAAGAGGGGAAUAACAUUCUGAAAAGAAUGCUAAUACCGCAUAAUAUAUAUUUAUCGCAUGGUAGAUAUAUCAAAGAUUUAUCGCUUAGAGAUGGACUCGCGUCCGAUUAGUUAGUUGGUGAGGUAACGGCUCACCAAGACCGCGAUCGGUAGCCGGACUGAGAGGUUGAACGGCCACAUUGGGACUGAGACACGGCCCAGACUCCUACGGGAGGCAGCAGUGGGGGAUAUUGCGCAAUGGGGGAAACCCUGACGCAGCAACGCCGCGUGAAGGAUGAAGGUCUUCGGAUUGUAAACUUCUUUUAUUAAGGACGAAGAAAGUGACGGUACUUAAUGAAUAAGCUCCGGCUAACUACGUGCCAGCAGCCGCGGUAAUACGUAGGGAGCAAGCGUUGUCCGGAUUUACUGGGUGUAAAGGGUGCGUAGGCGGCUUUGCAAGUCAGAUGUGAAAUCUAUGGGCUCAACCCAUAGCCUGCAUUUGAAACUGCAGAGCUUGAGUGAAGUAGAGGCAGGCGGAAUUCCCCGUGUAGCGGUGAAAUGCGUAGAGAUGGGGAGGAACGCCAGUGGCGAAGGCGGCCUGCUGGGCUUUAACUGACGCUGAGGCACGAAAGCGUGGGUAGCAAACAGGAUUAGAUACCCUGGUAGUCCACGCUGCAAACGAUGAUUACUAGGUGUGGGGGGUCUGACCCCUUCCGUGCCGGAG
This 709-nucleotide ribosomal RNA is filed under the name uncultured bacterium. RNAcentral describes it as "bacterial SSU rRNA". It matches the Rfam family "Bacterial small subunit ribosomal RNA", at positions 127 to 851 of the family's 1533-position model. The record is from RNAcentral.